RNAcentral lists this unclassified non-coding RNA (1518 nucleotides) under uncultured fungus. RNAcentral describes it as "sequence contains 18S rRNA gene, ITS1, 5.8S rRNA gene, ITS2, 28S rRNA gene". The stretch from base 458 to 1518 matches the Rfam family "Eukaryotic large subunit ribosomal RNA", at positions 1 to 961 of the family's 3401-position model. The record is from RNAcentral. Lineage: Eukaryota; Fungi.
GGAAGGAUCAUUCACGCAAUCAUCCAAUGUCAAGUAAAAGGGAUAUGCCGAGGUAUAUCACAAACCCAACCAAAGUUCCUGUGACUGCCUUAGUGCUUAAUUCAAGUGUCACUGCUUGUAGGAUAAAACACACUGAAGUUCAUGACGAUUGAUGCCUUGGUUCAGGAAUCGAUGAAGGACGCAGCAAAGUGCGAUAAGCACUGUGAAUUGCAGAAUUCAGCGAAUCAGCAGAUCUCUCAACGCAAAUGGUGCCAGGUAAACUCGUUUACUUGGCAGUCAUGCUUCAGUAUUGCACUUAAUGCUCUAAACAAGCAUUUUUGUUAUCUUGUUCAUGAUUGAAUAUGAGUCUCGGCUGAUAUUUAAUCUGUCACAGAUAACGUGAAGUUCGCUAAGUAAUACUGGCGAAUGGGAAUAGCUCAAUGUUAUUAACCUAGUUAAGCAUUAGAGCAACUGCUAAUCAAUCUGAAGUAUGUCAGACUACCCGCUGAACUUAAGCAUAUCAUUAAGCGGAGGAAAAGAAACUAACUAGGAUUCCCUUAGUAAUGGCGAAUGAAACGGGAAGAGCUCAGUGGUGAAUCAGGUGUUUACAUCUGAAAUGUACCAUUAGGGGUAGCCAGAGCAUUGCGAAGUUUAACUCCUCUGGAAUGAGGGACCAUAGAGGGUGAUAGUCCCGUAUACACUUCUGCUUGCUCGUCCGGCUGCUUCUGUAUUGAGUCGCGCUCUUUGGGAGUAGAGCGUAAAAGGGUGGUAGAUUCCAUCCAAAGCUAAAUAUUUUCCUGAAACCAAUAGAGAACAAGUACCAUGAGGGAAAGGUGAAAAGAACUUUGAAAAGAGGGUUAAAAGUGCCUGAGAUCGUCAUGGAGAAAGCGGAUGUCGUCCGGUGUCUCGACUUGAUUCGUGCGGAUUAUGCUACAGUGAAGCAGCAUUUGCUUAGCACCUGCUGUGAAACUGUCAAGUAUAUGAAACGCGAUUUCAUGUUGGGUAUGUGGUACCUGUUGGGUCGCGCGUUGACACAGGUGAUGACGGAUGCCCUCGGGUGUCUUGUUCCAUCUGAGACGUGGACCUGACAGUGCUGAAGGCUGGCGUCCAACUAUAUGUCACGGAGUUGGGGUACGUGCAAAUUGUCUCUCUGAGACCAUGCGUACGUUAUCUCUCUCUGGGAUGUGUAGCGUCGUUAGCCAUAGUACCACCAAAGGAUGGUAUCCGACCCGUCUUGAAACACGGACCAAGGAGUCUACCGUAUAUGCGAGUGUGUGAGAUCUCAAUCUUCCGCGCGUAACGAAAGUGAUAUCUCCUUAAGUGCUUGCACUUGUAGGAGGUACCAACCCAGAUCUUCGGAGAUGGGCUUGAGUAUGAGCAUAUACGAUAGGACCCGAAAGAUGGUGAACUAUGCCUGAGUAGGGUGAAGCCAGGGGAAACUCUGGUGGAAGCUCGUAGCGAUACUGACGUGCAAAUCGUUCGUCAAACUUGGGUAUAGGGGCGAAAGACUAAUCGAACCAUCUAGUAGCUGGUUCCCUC